Molecule: ribosomal RNA, 468 nt
Filed under: uncultured bacterium
Lineage: Bacteria
Description: partial 16S ribosomal RNA
Rfam family: Bacterial small subunit ribosomal RNA
Source: RNAcentral
GACGAACGCUGGCGGCGUGCUUAACACAUGCAAGUCGAACGGUAAGGCCCUGCUUUUGUGGGAUGCUCGUGUGGCGCACGGGUGUGUAUCACGUGAGUAAACUGUCCUUGACUUUGGGAUAACUUCUGGAAACAGGGGUUAUUACACGACAGGAGCUCCUGCUACACGGUGGUGAUUGGAAAGUUUCGGGGGUUGGGGAUGGACACGAGGCUCAGCAGCGUGUUGGUGGGGUAGUGGCUUACAAAGGCUUUGAGGGGUAGCCGGACUGGGAGGGUGACCGGCCACAUUGGGACUGGGAUACGGCCCAGACUCCUACGGGAGGCAGCAGUGGGGAAUAUUGCACAAUGGGCGGAAGCCUGAUGCAGCAACGCCGCGUGCGAGAUGACGGCCUUCGGGUUGUAAACCGCUUUCGCCUGGGACGAAGCGUAAGUGACGGUAAUGAGUAAAAAAGCACCGGCUAACUACGUG